RNAcentral lists this ribosomal RNA (253 nucleotides) under uncultured bacterium. RNAcentral describes it as "partial 16S ribosomal RNA". It matches the Rfam family "Bacterial small subunit ribosomal RNA", at positions 524 to 776 of the family's 1533-position model. The record is from RNAcentral.
UACGUAGGGUGCAAGCGUUAAUCGGAAUUACUGGGCGUAAAGCGUGCGCAGGCGGUUGUGCAAGACAGAUGUGAAAUCCCCGGGCUCAACCUGGGAACUGCAUUUGUGACUGCACGGCUGGAGUGCGGCAGAGGGGGAUGGAAUUCCGCGUGUAGCAGUGAAAUGCGUAGAUAUGCGGGAGAACACCGAUGGCGAAGGCAAUCCCCUGGGCCUGCACUGACGCUCAUGCACGAAAGCGUGGGGAGCAAACAGG